Molecule: ribosomal RNA, 327 nt
Filed under: uncultured eukaryote
Lineage: Eukaryota
Description: partial 18S ribosomal RNA
Rfam family: Eukaryotic small subunit ribosomal RNA
Source: RNAcentral
CCCUUAGAUGUUCUGGGCCGCACACGCGCUACACUGAUUCAUGCAACAAGUUUUGUCCUUGGCUGAUAGGCCUGGGUAAUCUUUGAACGUGAAUCGUGAUGGGGAUAGAUGAUUGCAAUUAUUCAUCUUCAACGAGGAAUUCCUAGUAAACGCAAGUCAUCAGCUUGCAUUGAUUACGUCCCUGCCCUUUGUACACACCGCCCGUCGCACCUACCGAUUGAAUGGUCCGGUGAAAUCUUCGGAUCUGAGAGAUGUCUGAUUAAUUUCGGACGCCUUUUGGAAAAGUUGCUUAAACCUUACCAUUUAGAGGAAGGUGAAGUCGUAACA